RNAcentral lists this long non-coding RNA (5672 nucleotides) under Equus caballus (horse). RNAcentral's name for it is "lncRNA (ENSECAG00000044703.1)". The record is from RNAcentral. Lineage: Eukaryota; Metazoa; Chordata; Mammalia; Perissodactyla; Equidae.
UCUAUCUGAUUCCAAAGCACUGUGGUUUGAGCCCACCCAUGAUGCACAUGCUAGAGUCUCUGUACCACUGGGGAACAGGGGAGAUGGUAAAGAGUUCAUCACAGUUCUCUGAACAUGCUUCAGCCCUUCUACAUGAACAUAGCAUCGCUGAUCCUUGUUCUACGGACCACCUGCUAUGAACUGUUUGUCCAGGUGCGAUGCAUUUUUCUUGUUAAUUCCCAAGUUCUUCUCUGUUCUCUUUUAAGACUAGGACAUAUACUGGCUAUUCACGGAUCCAGAGGAAAGAAAAGUGUCUUGGCCGUAGAAGGGUGUUCAAACUCUGACUUAGGCUCCUCAGACGCUACAUACAAAACAGCUGGCUUAGUGAGCCUCCUGCUGUCUCCCUGCACAGACCCGACAAUCUCAGAGGAGGAAGAAAUCUCAGAAAUUCUUGAGUCCAUCCUUCUCCCAUGUGAGCUUCCAUGGAAGCCAAAAUCAGCUACAGUUAUGGUCUUUAAGACACAGGACGGCUAUGACCAAAAAUACUGAGGGUUGGUGGGGAUGUGAAGAGAUUGGAAUCCACCUCCCUUGCUGCUGGGAACCUAAACUGGUGCAGUUGUUUUGGAAAACAGUCUGGCAAUUCCUCGAAGAUUAAAUAUGGUGUCGCCAUGAGACCCAACGAUUCCAUUGCUAGGUGUGUACCCAGAGAAAUGAAAGUGUAUGUCCACACAAAAACAUGUACACCAUUUCACAGAAGCAUCACUCGUAACCGGCAAAAAGUGGAAACAACACCAACGUCCAUCGACUGAAGCAUGGACAGAGGAAAUGUGGCCCAUCCGUACAAUGGAAUGUCAUUUACCAUAAACAGGAGUGAAGUACUGAUGGAUGCUACAACCCGGAUGAAUUUUGAAACAUUAUAUUAAGUGAAAGAAGCCAGACAUAAAAGACCUCGUGUUCGCUAAUUCAAUUUAUACGAAAUGUCCAGAGCAGGCAAAUUCAUAGAAACAACAAGCAGAUUAGCGGUGCCUAGGGUUGGGGUGGGAAUGGUUUGGAGGUAAAUAUGGGGUGACUGCGAAUGGGUAUGAGGUUUCUUUUUGGGAUGAUAAAAAUGUUCUAAAAUUGAUUGUGGUGAUAGUUGCACAACUCUAUGAAUAUACUAAAAUCCAUUGAAUUUAAACGGGUGGAUUAAAUGACAUGUGAAUUACACCUUAAGGAAAUUGUUUAAAUAAUCUAUUUAUGUGUAGAGAGGCACAGAAAAAACUUUGCAAAGUAUUUUUUAUUGCAUUCAUAAUAGUUUAUAACAUUGUGAAAUUUCAGUUGUACCUUAUUAUUUGUCAGUCACCAUGUAAGUGCACCCCUUCACCCCUUGUGCCCAUCCCCCAACUCCUUUCCCCUUGGUAACCACUAAACUGUUCUCUUUGUCCGUGUGUUUGUUUAACUCCCACAUAUGUGUGCAAUCAUAUGGUGUUUGUCUUUCUCUGUCUGGCUUAUGUCACUUAACAUAAUACCCUCAAGGUCCAUGCAUGUUAUUGCAAAUGGGACAAUUUUGUCAUUUUUUAUGGCUGAGUAGUAUUCCGUUGUGUAUAUAUACCACAUCUCCUUUAUCCAAUCAUCAGUCGAUGGGCACUCGGGUUGUUUCCAUGUCUUGGCUAUUGUGAAUAAUGCUGCAUAAGCCUCUUUGAAUUGUUGAUUUCAAGUUCUUUGGAUAAAUACCAGUAGUGGGAUAGCUGGGUCAUAUGGUAUUUCUCUUCCUAAUUUUUUGAGGAAUCUCCAUACUGUUUUCCAUAGUGGCUGGAGCAGUUUGCAUUCCCACCAGCAGUGUAUGAGGGUUCCCUUUUCUCCAUCCUCUCCAACAUUUGUUAUUUUUUGUCUUGGUGAUUAUAGCCAUUCUAACGGGUGUAAGGUGGUAUCUUAGUGUAGUUUGAUUUGCAUUUCCCUGAUGAUUAGUGAUGCUGAACAUCUUCUCAGGUGCCUAUUGGCCAUCUGUAUAUCUUCUUUAGAAAAAUGUCUGUUUUGCACAUUUUUUGAUCAGGUUGUUUAUUUUUUUGCUGUUCAGUUGUGUGAAUUCUUUAUAAAUUAUGGAGAUUAACCCCUUGUCGGAUAUAGGAUUUGCAAAUAUUUUCUCCUAGUUGGUGGGUUGUCUUUUCGUUUUGAUCCUAGUUUCCUUUGCCUUCCAGAAGCUCUUUAGUCUGAUGAAGUCCCACUUGUUUAUUUUUUCUUUUGUUUCCCUUGCCCAAGUAGACAUGGUAUUUGAAAAGAUCUAAGACCGAAGUCAGAGAGUGUACUGCCUGUAUUUUCUUGUAGCAGUUUUAUGGUUUCAGGUCCUACAUUCAAGUCUUUGAUCUAUUUUGAGUUUGUUUUUGUGGAUGACAAAAAAUAUUGGUCUACUUUCAUUCUUUUGCAUGUGGCUGCCCAGUUUUCCCAACACCAUUUGUUGAAGAGACUUUCCUUUCUCCAUUGUAUGUUCUUGGCUCCUUUGUCGAAGAUUAGCUGUCCGUAGAUGUGUGGUUUUAUUUCUGGGCUUUCAAUUUUGUUCCAUUGAUCUGUGUGCCUGUUUUUGUACCAGUACCAUGCUGUUUUGAUUACUAUAGCUUUGUGGUAUAUUUUGAAGUCAGGGUUUAUGAUGCCUCCAGCUUUGGUCUUGUUUCUCAGGACUCCUUGGGCUAUUCAGGGUCUUUUGUUGGCUCAUAUGAACUUUAGGAUUCUUUGUUCUAUUUCUGUGAAGAAUGUCAUUGGGAUUCUGAUUGGGAUUGCGUUGAAUGUGUAGAUUGCUUUAGGUAGCAUGGACAUUUUAACUAUGUUUAGUCUUCCAAUCCAUGUUCAUGGAAUAUGUGGAAAGUAUUUUUAAUCAGAAUGUUAAUAGUGGUUUUCUUUAACUGUGGGGUUAUCUUAAAUUUCCAUUUGUGUACCUUCCAGUAUCUUUUGAAGUAUGUAAAGAUUGUGCAUUUAUACAAUCAGAGAAACAAGACAAAUCUCUUAACUGUUCAGGACUGUUUUUAAAACCCUUAGGUCUAGGACUUUUACAAGUGGGGCCCCACUCCAUCGCAUCAGACAGAUUAAAAUGCCCUGGAGCCCCACGUUAACUGUACUUCUUUCCAUGAAAAUAUUUGAAACAACUCAUAAUUUUGCCUUUGAAACUAUUAGGCUACAAAAAACAUUUAUAAUUGGCUUUGACUUUCUCAGCAGUCAUCAUGCAAACUUGGGAAUUUGUGCAAGGAAGAAAAUAUGUAAACUACAGACAGUUUUCCAAUGUGAUAAGAUUUUUAUGAAUUUGACAUAAUGUUACCUUUCAUAGACAUUUAAACAUUGUUUAUUUUUUUCAGGGUUUUGGUUUCUGUAUUUAGUAGCCGAUACAAUUUUUGAGGCCCUCAAUACUUUGGUGGGCCUGAGACAAGCUCAGAGGCCCUGAGCCCCAGGCCUGUGGGGUGCCAACAUCCAGGGCAGGAGCCCUCCCCAUUGGGGUGAUGUCCACCUGUCUGUGCCCAGUGCCUAACACAGGGAUGGGAAAAUAAUCUGAACUCACCAAGUAUCUUUGGAUUGAUAGAUUUAUGGAGGCUUCAAAUCUUUCAAUCCUCCUUAAGAAGUGUGAUUUUAUUUAAAAGUCUUUCCUCUAUUUCAGAGGAAAGUAUUUCCUUUAUUCUCCAUAGACAAGGAGAACAUAUGUUUGCAUUCUUCCAUUAAAAACCCUACAUGUUCUUGAAAAAGUAAUCAAGAUGCCUCUUAUCAACUGUUUUAUUGAUGAAACAAUCCCGGCUCACUUAACUAGUCCCUAAAAAAACCUAGUUUUGGGGCCAGCCCCAUGGUGGAGUGGUUAAGUUCGCACGCUCUGCUUCAGCAGCCCAGGGUUUCGCUGGUUUGGACCCUGGGCGCAGACAUGGCUCCACUCAUCAGGCUAUGCUGAGGCUGCAUCCCACAUGCCACAACUAGAAGGACCCACAACUAAAAUAUACAACUAGGUACUGGGGUGAUUUGGGGAGAAAAAGCAAAAAAAAAAACCCUUAGUUUUAUGAUCAGUUAUACACCCUGUCCAGUGUCUAUGUGUCAUUGCCAACUCUUACUGGGUAUAACAUUUCAUAAAUGUUUGACUGAUACAAAACACAGGGGAGGAUUUAUUCUCCCAAAUCAUACUGCUGUUUUCAUUUUAUUUUAAAAGCCAACUGUUACUCAGCUUGUGGUCAUCCCUGAUCCCAUGCUCUUUAUCUUUCUACCUUGGAUCUCGUUAAGUUUUUCCCCAUCCCAUAUUUAAAUGAUUACUCUUUCUUCUAUAACUACUGUCUUGGAAUUACGUACUGAGUUUUAUAAUUUUUAAAUAAAUUAAAUUCCAUUUUGUUUUACAGAAUUUUAGCUACUGGAGUUUCAAUGAAUGCACAGUUUGGCCAAAUGUUGGAUGUCCAACCAUUAAACCCAAUAUUUGACUUAAGAUAUAUGUUUCCCAUAAAAUAAACUUCCAGGAUAUAAUAGAAUAUCUGAAUAUUUUUUCUCCUGAGGAACAUUAGCCCUAAGCUAACAUCUGUGCCAAUCUCCCUCUAUUUAACAUGUGGGUCACCUUCACAGCAUGGCUGACAAGUGGUGUAGGUCCAUGCCCCAGAUCCAAACCUGUGAACCUGGGCCUCUAAAGAGGAGCACACCGAACUUAACCACUAGGCCACAGGGCCGGCCCCUGACAUUUUAUUUUAAAUAUUCAAGCAUUAGAACUUCUUACAUUUGAUAGUCAUAUUUUAAAGGUUUAAUACAGUAUGGAAAAAUCUCUCAUCACUGUCAACUAUAUCGCUCCUACAGGCACAGUUACAACAUUAAAUACGUGUUCAUUUUCAAUUGAUGACAGAAGAAUAAAAUAGUUUAAUGUUUCUCACUUUUUGCUAAUACAUUCUUCAUUUAUUCAAACUUUUUAUAUUCUGUGCUAUGUCUGGAUAGAAGGUAAUUCAUAAUUAAUAUAUUAUACAUGAGUUCAGAGACUUUCUCUUCGUGAGACUUUGAUGUUCUGCUUGUAAUUCAUCCUACAAGCCAUGAAGAUUUCCCAAAUGCAACUUUUCUCAACAGAUUCGUCACCUAAAUGGAUUCAGCUAUAAAUUUAUUAUAGUCUUUAAAUAUUUUGUUUCAUGUCAUAAAUGCAAGUCACUAAGCAAUUCAACAAUUAAGAUAUAAUCGAAUCUCUCUUACGCUGCCUUACACAAUUAUUUACAUUUUUAUAAACCUUUUUUGGCACUCUGCUCUUCUUAAAGUUGUCUAGCUAAUACACUCUCACUAUUCAUACUAAGAAUCGACCUAUCUCCCUAUUUGUUUACCUUUUUGAAUGUUCUUAAUAAUUGUCUUUACACAUAAAAUUAACAUUGCUCACAAUCAAUUAGUGCAGCAUUUUUUUCUUGCAAUAAAAAUUAUGCAUGUUUUCUUCAGCUGACUGAAGGAUUUGGGGGCAAAGAGCACAUAGAAGAUAUUUUCUCCAAGCGGCAUCUAAAAUACUUACCUAUAUCGUGAGAGAAAAUCUACCGAUAUUAACACAACAUCCCAAUUAUAAUCCUGACAUGGAGCUGACUAGUGACAAUCACACAGCAGGUCGGGGACGCCGGGAAUGGUGUGGAGGUGGGCAUUUGGCUCCCCUUCCAAAGCCAAAGCGAAAAACCAGAUUUGGGCCAAAUGCUAGGGCCAAAGCUAAAUUUUGUGCAACUCUCUAUCAGUCACAGGGCAUGGACUGU